GAUGAAGAACGCAGCGAAAUGCGAUAAGUAAUGUGAAUUGCAGAAUUCAGUGAAUCGUCGAAUCUUUGAACGCACAUUGCGCCCGCCAGUAUUCUGGCGGGCAUGCCUGUCCGAGCGUCAUUUCAACCCUCGAACCCCUCCGGGGGGUCGGCGUUGGGGAUCGGCCCUUUACGGGGCCGGCCCCGAAAUACAGUGGCGGUCUCGCCGCAGCCUCUCCUGCGCAGUAGUUUGCACACUCGCAUCGGGAGCGCGGCGCGUCCACAGCCGUUAAACACCCCAAACUUCUGAAAUGUUGACCUCGGAUCAGGUAGGAAUACCCGCUGAACUUAAGCAUAUCAAUAAGCGGAGGA
Molecule: unclassified non-coding RNA, 350 nt
Filed under: soil metagenome
Description: partial contains 5.8S ribosomal RNA, internal transcribed spacer 2, and large subunit ribosomal RNA
Rfam family: 5.8S ribosomal RNA (bases 1-120)
Source: RNAcentral